UAUUGAGCCAAUCUAUAUCAUAGAUGUGCCUAUGCUAGAACUAGUAACAAGAAUUUAUCUCUAUGUACAUGUGUACAUCAGAACGAAAAACUCACUGAUAAUUAACGUUAAAAUAAUGCAAACUUAGAAAAAUAUAAAUACUUACGUUAAACCAACACAGGGGUACAAAAGAAAGAUUAAAAAUUUAAAAAGGAACUCGGCAAUCAAAGACUUCGCCUGUUUACCAAAAACAUCACCUCUUGCAUAUUAAGUAUAAGAGGCCCUGCCUGCCCAGUGACAUUAGUUUAACGGCCGCGGUAUC
RNAcentral lists this ribosomal RNA (301 nucleotides) under Ambystoma mexicanum (axolotl). Its description in RNAcentral is "partial 16S ribosomal RNA". The record is from RNAcentral. Lineage: Eukaryota; Metazoa; Chordata; Amphibia; Caudata; Ambystomatidae.